GCCUGCAUAGCUCAGUAGGUUAGAGCGUUCGCUUAGUAAGCGAAAGGUCGGUGGUUCGAAUCCGCCUGUAGGCU
Babesia bovis is the source of this 74-nucleotide non-coding RNA. Lineage: Eukaryota; Apicomplexa; Aconoidasida; Piroplasmida; Babesiidae. The record is from Rfam.